GCAAGUCGAACGGUAAGGUCUCUUCGGAGAUACACGAGUGGCGCACGGGUGCGUAACGCGUAUACAACCUACCCUUUAGAGGAGAAUAACUUCUGGAAACGGGAGCUAAUACUCCAUAUACACUUAGUAUCGCAUGGUACAGAGUGAAGAUGCUCCGGCGCUAAAGGAUGGGUAUGCGUAACAUUAGCUAGUUGGUGAGGUAAUGGCUCACCAAGGCAACGAUGUUUAGCUGGUCUGAGAGGAUGAUC
This 248-nucleotide ribosomal RNA is filed under the name uncultured bacterium. Its description in RNAcentral is "partial 16S ribosomal RNA". It matches the Rfam family "Bacterial small subunit ribosomal RNA", at positions 57 to 305 of the family's 1533-position model. The record is from RNAcentral.